CCGUGCUAGGUGGGGAGGUAGCGGUGCCCUGAACCUGCAAUCCGCUAUAGCAGGGCUGAAUUCCGGCCUGAGGUCUUCGGCCUCAAGCAGAGUCCGGGCCAGUGGUGCUGAGAGCCGGGUCCCGCGCAACAGGAAUUCGUGAACCCCGUCAGAUCCGGGAGGAAGCAGCGGUAAGCGAGCACUUCUGUGUGCCGCGGGGGAGCCUGACUGGAGCCGUCUACCCGGAUAUCACUUGGGUCCGAUUGUCGAAGGCCGGUGCACGG
RNAcentral lists this signal recognition particle RNA (263 nucleotides) under Actinomycetota bacterium. RNAcentral describes it as "signal recognition particle sRNA large type". It matches the Rfam family "Bacterial large signal recognition particle RNA". From Rfam's summary of the family: The signal recognition particle (SRP) is a universally conserved ribonucleoprotein involved in the co-translational targeting of proteins to membranes. Archaeal SRP consists of a 7S RNA and homologues of the eukaryotic SRP19 and SRP54 proteins. Lineage: Bacteria; Bacillati; Actinomycetota. The record is from RNAcentral.